UUUGGCAGAAACAAAAUGCUUUCCCAGGUCUUCUGAAUUUGUAUCCAGUGCUCAUUUUCCUCUGCUUGUAAGACAGCACUAACAUACACCUUCGACUCAAUGGGACAUGCAAAAACCACCAUGAUGAUUAUAAGACUCAGCAGGACCCUAGAUCAGGAAUUUCUUCUCCAGAGUGAUGCUGAGAACAGGAACCAGAGUAGGUUGUGCCCAGUGACAUCCCAAAGGUGGGAGUUAGAUAAGUAAAU
This is a long non-coding RNA of Sarcophilus harrisii (Tasmanian devil), 245 nucleotides long. RefSeq lists it as uncharacterized. Lineage: Eukaryota; Metazoa; Chordata; Mammalia; Dasyuromorphia; Dasyuridae. The transcript has 3 exons. The record is from RefSeq and is a predicted model, not a curated record.